CGCUAACUCAUUUUCGCGCCAAAUUAUCUUCAUGUUUUCGCAGCGCCCUCACCGGGAGGCAUAGAAAGACUUCCGGUCGUAUUAACUGCAGUGUUUUCAUCGAAGACUUUGGGGUAUGUCAGACAUCACUCUUCUCAACAACAGACACAGAUUGCAAGCAGAGGAAAUGAAGAAUGCAUAAAUUUUUAUGGGUGAAUUUAUCCUGACCACCAUAAAUCUAUUAAAGUAACAGUACCUCUCUUGAUUGAUUCUACAA
This is a long non-coding RNA of Saccostrea cuccullata (small rock oyster), 256 nucleotides long. RefSeq lists it as uncharacterized. The transcript is spliced from 3 exons. The record is from RefSeq and is a predicted model, not a curated record. NCBI's taxonomy places the organism in Eukaryota, Metazoa, Mollusca, Bivalvia, Ostreida, Ostreidae.